Molecule: ribosomal RNA, 295 nt
Filed under: uncultured actinomycete
Lineage: Bacteria; Bacillati; Actinomycetota; Actinomycetes; Actinomycetales
Description: partial 16S ribosomal RNA
Rfam family: Bacterial small subunit ribosomal RNA
Source: RNAcentral
GGAGGAGCGCGCGGCCUAUUAGCUAUCAGGUGGGGUAAAGGCCUACCAAGGCGCAGAUGGGUAGCGGGUAGGAGAGGAGGGCCAGCCACAGUGCGCAUGAGACACGAUCCAGACUCCUACGUGAGGCAGCAGUGAGCAAUUUUGCGCAAUGGGCGAAGGCCGAAAGCAGCGACCACGGGUGGAGGAUGACGGCCUUCGGCUCUUAAACUCCAGUCAUAGGUGAAGAAUCCCGACAAGAAAUUGACGGUAACCUCAAAGGAAGCCCCGGCCAACUACGUGCCAGCAGCCGCGGCCG